RNAcentral lists this ribosomal RNA (550 nucleotides) under uncultured bacterium. RNAcentral describes it as "bacterial SSU rRNA". It matches the Rfam family "Bacterial small subunit ribosomal RNA", at positions 355 to 896 of the family's 1533-position model. The record is from RNAcentral.
UAGGGAAUCUUCGGCAAUGGGGGCAACCCUGACCGAGCAACGCCGCGUGAGUGAAGAAGGUUUUCGGGUCGUAAAGCUCUGUUGUAAGAGAAGAACGAGUGUGAGAGUGGAAAGUUCACACUGUGACGGUAACUUACCAGAAAGGGACGGCUAACUACGUGCCAGCAGCCGCGGUAAUACGUAGGUCCCGAGCGUUAUCCGGAUUUAUUGGGCGUAAAGCAAGCGCAGGCGGUUAGAUAAGUCUGAAGUUAAAGGCUGUGGCUUAACCAUAGUACGCUUUGGAAACUGUUUAACUUGAGUGCAGAAGGGGAGAGUGGAAUUCCAUGUGUAGCGGUGAAAUGCGUAGAUAUAUGGAGGAACACCGGUGGCGAAAGCGGCUCUCUGGUCUGUAACUGACGCUGAGGCUCGAAAGCGUGGGGAGCAAACAGGAUUAGAUACCCUGGUAGUCCACGCCGUAAACGAUGAGUGCUAGGUGUUGGGUCCUUUCCGGGACUCAGUGCCGCAGCUAACGCAUUAAGCACUCCGCCUGGGGAGUACGACCGCAAGGUUG